RNAcentral lists this ribosomal RNA (254 nucleotides) under uncultured bacterium. RNAcentral's name for it is "partial 16S ribosomal RNA". It matches the Rfam family "Bacterial small subunit ribosomal RNA", at positions 524 to 776 of the family's 1533-position model. The record is from RNAcentral.
UACGUAGGGUCCGAGCGUUGUCCGGAAUUACUGGGCGUAAAGAGCUCGUAGGUGGUUUGUCGCGUUGUCCGUGAAAACUCGACAGCUCAACUGUGGGCGUGCGGGCGAUACGGGCAGACUGGAGUACUGCAGGGGAGACUGGAAUUCCUGGUGUAGCGGUGGAAUGCGCAGAUAUCAGGAGGAACACCCGUGGCUAAGGCGGCUCUCUAGUACGGUACUGACGCUGAGACGCGAAAGCGUGGGGAGCGAACAGG